AGGAUUCAGUAGAUGAGCUUUGAGUAUCUUUCAAGUGAUGGGCCAAUCCUGACGGGCCGAAUGACCCUAAGGAAACAUGAAAGGUCUGAAAUAUGCGCAUCAGUUAUGGACUUUUUUGCGCGGCCCGUGACACUUAUAUGUGGCAUCUUUUCUUUUACAUACAGGUUUUCUUGGUCAAUGUAUUGCAAACGUUGUCGGGUUGGCUCUAGCCGAGAAGCACCUAGUUGCUAGGUUCAACAAGUCUAACAAUGAGAUUGUUGACCACUACAUGUAUGAUUACUUCUCGAGUUCUUACUGUUCAUUGUGUUAUGAUAUCUUCUAUGGAUAAUAAAUUGAUAUUUGUUUUUGUAGGUAUGCUAUUUUAGGUGAUGGUUGUCAAAUAGAGGGUAUUGCGAACGAAGCUUGUUCGUUUGCCAAACAUUGUGGACUUGGAAUGCUUAUAGCUUUCUACGAUGACAAUCACAUUUCGCUCGAUCGUGACACUAAAAUUACCUUUAUCGAAAAUGUCGAUGAAUGUUUUAAGGGGCUUGGGUGGCAUGUUAUUUGGGUCAAGAAUGGGAAUACUGGUUACGAUAAGAUUCGUGCUGCUAUUAAGGAAGCAAAGGCUGUCAAAGACAAGCCCACUUUCAU
This 630-nucleotide long non-coding RNA is filed under the name Gossypium barbadense (sea-island cotton). RNAcentral's name for it is "long non-coding RNA (GBAR_LNC021775)". Lineage: Eukaryota; Viridiplantae; Streptophyta; Magnoliopsida; Malvales; Malvaceae. The record is from RNAcentral.